GUGCCAGCAGCUGCGGUAAUACGAAGGGGCUAGCGUUGCUCGGAAUUACUGGGCGUAAAGCGCACGUAGGCGGACCGAUAAGUCGGGGGUGAAAUCCUGGAGCUCAACUCCAGAACUGCCUUCGAAACUGCCGGUCUUGAGUUCGGGAGAGGUGAGUGGAACUGCGAGUGUAGAGGUGAAAUUCGUAGAUAUUCGCAAGAACACCAGUGGCGAAGGCGGCUCACUGGCCCGAUACUGACGCUGAGGUGCGAAAGCGUGGGAGCAAACAGGAUUAGAUACCCUGGUAGUCCACGCCGUAAACGAUGAAUGCUAGCCGUUGGCGAGCUUGCUCGUCAGUGGCGCAGCUAACGCUUUAAGCAUUCCGCCUGGGAGUACGGUCGCAAG
Molecule: ribosomal RNA, 384 nt
Filed under: uncultured Pseudolabrys sp.
Lineage: Bacteria; Pseudomonadati; Pseudomonadota; Alphaproteobacteria; Hyphomicrobiales; Xanthobacteraceae
Description: bacterial SSU rRNA
Rfam family: Bacterial small subunit ribosomal RNA
Source: RNAcentral